GGUGGAUGCCCUGGCAGUCAGAGGCGAUGAAGGGCGUGCUAAUCUGCGAUAAGCGCCGGUAAGGUGAUAUGAACCGUUAUAACCGGCGAUACCCGAAUGGGGAAACCCAGUGUGACUCGUCACACUAUCAUUAACUGAAUCCAUAGGUUAAUGAGGCGAACCGGGGGAACUGAAACAUCUAAGUACCCCGAGGAAAAGAAAUCAACCGAGAUUCCCCCAGUAGCGGCGAGCGAACGGGGAGGAGCCCAGAGCCUGAAUCAGCAUGUGUGUUAGUGGAAGCGUCUGGAAAGGCGCGCGAUACAGGGUGACAGCCCCGUACACAAAAGCGCAUGUGCUGUGAGCUCGAUGAGUAGGGCGGGACACGUGGUAUCCUGUCUGAAUAUGGGGGGACCAUCCUCCAAGGCUAAAUACUCCUGACUGACCGAUAGUGAACCAGUACCGUGAGGGAAAGGCGAAAAGAACCCCGGCGAGGGGAGUGAAAAAGAACCUGAAACCGUGUACGUACAAGCAGUGGGAGCACCCUUUGGGUGUGACUGCGUACCUUUUGUAUAAUGGGUCAGCGACUUAUAUUCUGUAGCAAGGUUAACCGAAUAGGGGAGCCGGAGGGAAACCGAGUCUUAAUUGGGCGUUAAGUUGCAGGGUAUAGACCCGAAACCCGGUGAUCUAGCCAUGGGCAGGUUGAAGGUUGGGUAACACUAACUGGAGGACCGAACCGACUAAUGUUGAAAAAUUAGCGGAUGACCUGUGGCUGGGGGUGAAAGGCCAAUCAAACCGGGAGAUAGCUGGUUCUCCCCGAAAGCUAUUUAGGUAGCGCCUCGUGAAUUCAUCUCCGGGGGUAGAGCACUGUUUCGGCUAGGGGGCCAUCCCGGCUUACCAACCCGAUGCAAACUGCGAAUACCGGAGAAUGUUAUCACGGGAGACACACGGCGGGUGCUAACGUCCGUCGUGAAGAGGGAAACAACCCAGACCGCCAGCUAAGGUCCCAAAGUCAUGGUUAAGUGGGAAACGAUGUGGGAAGGCCCAGACAGCCAGGAUGUUGGCUUAGAAGCAGCCAUCAUUUAAAGAAAGCGUAAUAGCUCACUGGUCGAGUCGGCCUGCGCGGAAGAUGUAACGGGGCUAAACCAUGCACCGAAGCUGCGGCAGCGACGCUUAUGCGUUGUUGGGUAGGGGAGCGUUCUGUAAGCCUGCGAAGGUGGCCUGUGAGGGUUGCUGGAGGUAUCAGAAGUGCGAAUGCUGACAUAAGUAACGAUAAAGCGGGUGAAAAGCCCGCUCGCCGGAAGACCAAGGGUUCCUGUCCAACGUUAAUCGGGGCAGGGUGAGUCGACCCCUAAGGCGAGGCCGAAAGGCGUAGUCGAUGGGAAACGGGUUAAUAUUCCCGUACUUGGUGUUACUGCGAAGGGGGGACGGAGAAGGCUAUGUUGGCCGGGCGACGGUUGUCCCGGUUUAAGCGUGUAGGCUGGUUUUCCAGGCAAAUCCGGAAAAUCAAGGCUGAGGCGUGAUGACGAGGCACUACGGUGCUGAAGCAACAAAUGCCCUGCUUCCAGGAAAAGCCUCUAAGCAUCAGGUAACAUCAAAUCGUACCCCAAACCGACACAGGUGGUCAGGUAGAGAAUACCAAGGCGCUUGAGAGAACUCGGGUGAAGGAACUAGGCAAAAUGGUGCCGUAACUUCGGGAGAAGGCACGCUGACACGUAGGUGAAGUGAUUUACUCACGGAGCUGAAGUCAGUCGAAGAUACCAGCUGGCUGCAACUGUUUAUUAAAAACACAGCACUGUGCAAACACGAAAGUGGACGUAUACGGUGUGACGCCUGCCCGGUGCCGGAAGGUUAAUUGAUGGGGUCAGCGCAAGCGAAGCUCCUGAUCGAAGCCCCGGUAAACGGCGGCCGUAACUAUAACGGUCCUAAGGUAGCGAAAUUCCUUGUCGGGUAAGUUCCGACCUGCACGAAUGGCGUAAUGAUGGCCAGGCUGUCUCCACCCGAGACUCAGUGAAAUUGAACUCGCUGUGAAGAUGCAGUGUACCCGCGGCAAGACGGAAAGACCCCGUGAACCUUUACUAUAGCUUGACACUGAACAUUGAGCCUUGAUGUGUAGGAUAGGUGGGAGGCUUUGAAGUGUGGACGCCAGUCUGCAUGGAGCCGACCUUGAAAUACCACCCUUUAAUGUUUGAUGUUCUAACGUGGACCCGUUACCCGGGUUGCGGACAGUGUCUGGUGGGUAGUUUGACUGGGGCGGUCUCCUCCUAAAGAGUAACGGAGGAGCACGAAGGUUGGCUAAUCCUGGUCGGACAUCAGGAGGUUAGUGCAAUGGCAUAAGCCAGCUUGACUGCGAGCGUGACGGCGCGAGCAGGUGCGAAAGCAGGUCAUAGUGAUCCGGUGGUUCUGAAUGGAAGGGCCAUCGCUCAACGGAUAAAAGGUACUCCGGGGAUAACAGGCUGAUACCGCCCAAGAGUUCAUAUCGACGGCGGUGUUUGGCACCUCGAUGUCGGCUCAUCACAUCCUGGGGCUGAAGUAGGUCCCAAGGGUAUGGCUGUUCGCCAUUUAAAGUGGUACGCGAGCUGGGUUUAGAACGUCGUGAGACAGUUCGGUCCCUAUCUGCCGUGGGCGCUGGAGAACUGAGGGGGGCUGCUCCUAGUACGAGAGGACCGGAGUGGACGCAUCACUGGUGUUCGGGUUGUCAUGCCAAUGGCACUGCCCGGUAGCUAAAUGCGGAAGAGAUAAGUGCUGAAAGCAUCUAAGCACGAAACUUGCCCCGAG
This 2754-nucleotide ribosomal RNA is filed under the name Salmonella enterica subsp. enterica serovar Enteritidis. RNAcentral's name for it is "partial 23S ribosomal RNA". It matches the Rfam family "Bacterial large subunit ribosomal RNA". The record is from RNAcentral. Lineage: Bacteria; Pseudomonadati; Pseudomonadota; Gammaproteobacteria; Enterobacterales; Enterobacteriaceae.